CAGCACCUCAAGUGGUCAGGAUGAUUAUUGGGCCUAAAGCAUCCGUAGCCGGCGCUGUAAGUUUUCGGUUAAAUCUGUACGCUCAACGUACAGGCUGCCGGGAAUACUGCAGCGCUAGGGAGUGGGAGAGGUAGACGGUACUCGGUAGGAAGGGGUAAAAUCCUUUGAUCUAUCGAUGACCACCUGUGGCGAAGGCGGUCUGCCAGAACACGUCCGACGGUGAGGGAUGAAAGCUGGGGGAGCAAACCGGAUUAGAUACCCGAGUAGUCC
RNAcentral lists this ribosomal RNA (270 nucleotides) under uncultured archaeon. RNAcentral describes it as "partial 16S ribosomal RNA". It matches the Rfam family "Archaeal small subunit ribosomal RNA", at positions 477 to 747 of the family's 1478-position model. The record is from RNAcentral.